UUUACCUACUUGAAAUGUCA
Molecule: non-coding RNA, 20 nt
Filed under: Arabidopsis thaliana (thale cress)
Lineage: Eukaryota; Viridiplantae; Streptophyta; Magnoliopsida; Brassicales; Brassicaceae
Source: RNAcentral